This 2411-nucleotide unclassified non-coding RNA is filed under the name Neodiprion pinetum (white pine sawfly). RNAcentral's name for it is "dNA helicase MCM8-like, transcript variant X1". The record is from RNAcentral. Lineage: Eukaryota; Metazoa; Arthropoda; Insecta; Hymenoptera; Diprionidae.
ACGCUUGUCGGCACGCGCUUUCUCAGUUUUAAUCUUGGUGUGUGUUUACCACUGGUGAAUUUUGCUUAGGGUUCACGUUGCAAAAUGAAUAAUCGUGGUAGAAGUUGGUACAGAAACAAAGGAAAGCGGAAAAGACCAUCUGAAAUUACGGAAACACUCGGAGGGUCGAAAAAGGACAUGUCAAAUCCUACAGAUUCAAGCGAGGCAUGUUCGCUGUUCAAUCCAAAUAGACACAACUCCCCAUAUCAUAAUUGGGACUUAUAUUUCCACAACGAAGUGUACACCAAAGCCUCGUCGACAGUAAGAAAAAUUGAAGCAAUGCAAAGAUUUAUAAUGUCCCAUAUGGAUAUAUUUCCAGUUUCAAACUUGGAAAACAACAAACCUUAUCAUGUUGACAUUAAGAUCCUGCUUAAGGAUGACUCGUUUUAUAAUGAGUGGAGUAGUUUCAAAGAGGAUCUGACAAAUGAUCCGAAACAUACGCUAAAUUGCCUUGGUAUGGCAAUUGAUCAGAUGAUGAUUGAAACAAUCACAGCAAAAGAGGGAAUGGAUGAUGUGACUGUCUCAGCUAACUUGCCAAUAGCCGUAGUAAGAAUAUCCAAUUAUGGUCCAGUCCUCUCCCUGAGAGACCUCAAGGUAAAUUCUUAUGGUAAGCUAAUAUCCAUCAGAGGAUGUAUUAUGAGGGUUGGGAAUAUAAAGCAUUUUGCCCAAUGGAUGGAGUUCUUGUGUGUAUCAUGCGGCAGUCGCAUGAUCUCGAGACAAGUUGAUGGAAUUUACACCUUACCAACCAAGUGCGUUUCCUGUAAUGGAAAAAAAUUCCAACCUCUCUUGAGUUCGGUACAUACAAAAACUGUAACAUUUCAAGUGAUAAGAUUACAGGAACAUGUUGGCGAUGAGCAGGAUGACAAAGGGAGAAUGCCCCGUAUUAUUGAUGUCGACUUGAUAGAAGACUUAGUCAACACUUGUAUGCCAGGAGACGAUAUUACCGUGACUGGAAUCAUUAAAGUCAGAGGAAACGAGAAGAAUUCAUCGAAAGGAAAUACUGCCGCGAACUUGUUUUCUUUAUACAUGGAAGCUGUUUACAUAUUAAAUAAUAAAUCGCAAAACAAAUGUGCUGUUGCACUUGAUCUGACUGAUGUAGAUCACCUUGCAGUAAAGGAAGUCUAUCAUGAUCCAAAUGUAUUCAAAUUACUUGUGCAAUCCCUCUGUCCAAGUAUUUAUGGUCAUGAACUCAUAAAAGCUGGACUCAUUCUAAGCCUGUUCGGAGGCAGCACAAAAUCGCAGGAUGUGCGCGAUGAUGUCCAUGUUUUAGUUGUCGGUGACCCCGGUCUUGGAAAGUCACAAAUGUUGCAAGCUUGUGCUCGUGUUGCAGCCAAAGGUAUUUAUGUAUGUGGUACUUCUAGUACCUCGACGGGUCUAACUGUUACUCUUGUGAAAGAUGCCAGUACCGGUGACGUCGUUCUUGAACCUGGAGCACUUGUUCUGGCUGAUAAAGGCACCUGUUGCAUAGAUGAAUUUGAUAAAAUGUCAACGCAACAUCAAGCAUUACUUGAAGCGAUGGAACAACAAAGUGUCAGUGUAGCUAAAUCAGGGAUGGUAUGUUGCCUUCCAGCUAGGACGUCAAUCUUGGCAGCUGCCAAUCCAGCUAGAGGACGCUAUGACAGGUCCAAAACUGUAAUUGAAAAUUUGAACAUGAAGCAGCCUCUGCUUUCACGUUUCGAUCUAAUAUUUAUACUCUUAGACCAACCUGAUGCACAUUUGGAUGAUUUACUCUCCGACCACGUUAUGGCUGUACAUGUUGGUAUAAGCAACCAAAUUGGAGAUAUGAGGUCUAACAGUACCAAUUCGUUAUCGACUGGUGAAUCCUCCAUGUCAGCAAAUAACUUGAGGCAAAAAUUGAGUUUAUGUCCAACUGAGACCAUUGACCCAAUACCACAUCGUAUUCUUCGAAACUAUAUUAUAUAUGCUCGGCAAUAUGUUAAACCAAAAAUAACACCUGCUGCAGUAGAAGUAUUGAAGGAUUUUUAUUUAAAAUGUCGAGCGCGAAACGACAGGGAGAAAAUAACGCCCAUGACACCAAGGCAAUUGGCAGCACUAAUCAGACUGACUGAGAAGCUGAUCUGGAGCUCUAAUACCUCAUUUUUAGGCAAGAGCGAAGUUGGAAUUAAGAGAAGAAGCCACGCAUAGUGAUGCUUUGGAAGUCAUUGAGAUAAUAAAGUUCAGUAUGGCAGAGGUAGAUGUGGAACACAUUGAGCCUGAUUAUUCACUAUUGUCUGGAUCUGGAAAAUUAACAGCUGCUAAGGUGAAAGCGUUUAUAAGUUUAUUGAGAGAUAAAGCAGCUGCUAUGGAAAAAACAGUAUUUUCAACAAGGGAAAUGAGAGACUUGGCAACGAAAGAAAAAAUUAUUGUAGAUG